Molecule: ribosomal RNA, 1479 nt
Filed under: uncultured prokaryote
Description: partial 16S ribosomal RNA
Rfam family: Bacterial small subunit ribosomal RNA
Source: RNAcentral
AGAGUUUGAUCAUGGCUCAGAGUGAACGCUGGCGGCGUGCUUAACACAUGCAAGUCGAACGAGAACGGUCCUUGCUUGCAAGGAUGUCAGCUAAGUGGCGCACGGGUGAGUAAUAUAUAGGUAACAUGCCCCAAAGAAGAGGAUAACGUUUGGAAACGAACGCUAAUACUCUAUAUGCCUUUAAGUCAAAAGACUGCAAGGGAAAUAUUUAUAGCUUUGGGAUUGGCCUGUACGGUAUCAGCUAGUUGGUGAGGUAAGAGCUCACCAAGGCAAUGACACCUAACUGGUUUGAGAGGAUGAUCAGUCACACUGGAACUGAGACACGGUCCAGACUCCUACGGGAGGCAGCAGUGGGGAAUAUUGCACAAUGGACGAAAGUCUGAUGCAGCAACGCCGCGUGGAGGAUGACACAUUUCGGUGCGUAAACUCCUUUUAUAUCUGAAGAUAAUGACGGUAAGAUAUGAAUAAGCACCGGCUAACUCCGUGCCAGCAGCCGCGGUAAUACGGAGGGUGCAAGCGUUACUCGGAAUUACUGGGCGUAAAGCGUGCGUAGGUGGUUUUUUAAGUGGGAUGUGAAAGCCCUAGGCUCAACCUUGGAAUUGCAUUCAGAACUGUCUGGCUAGAGUAUGGUAGAGGGUAGUGGAAUUUCCUGUGUAGCGGUGAAAUGCGUAGAUAUAGGAAGGAACACCAGUGGCGAAGGCGGCUACCUGGACCAAUACUGACGCUGAGGUGCGAAAGCGUGGGGAUCAAACAGGAUUAGAUACCCUGGUAGUCCACGCCGUAAACGAUGUCAACUAGCCGUUGGAGGACUUGAUCCUUUAGUGGCGCAGCUAACGCGAUAAGUUGACCGCCUGGGGAGUACACGGCCGCAAGGUUAAAACUAGAAUGAAUUGACGGGGGCCCGCACAAGCGGUGGAGCAUGUGGUUUAAUUCGAUGCAACGCGAAAAACCUUACCUACUCUUGACAUCCCGUGAACUUUCCAGAGAUGGAUUGGUGCCUUCGGGAACACGGUGACAGGUGCUGCAUGGCUGUCGUCAGCUCGUGUCGUGAGAUGUUGGGUUAAGUCCCAUAACGAGCGCAACCCUUGUCCUUAGUUGCCAUCGCGUAAUGGCGGGGACUCUAAGGAGAACUGCCUGGGUAACCAGGAGGAAGGUGAGGACGACGUCAAGUCAUCAUGGCCCUUACGUCCAGGGCUACACACGUGCUACAAUGGGGCAUACAAAGAGCUGCGAUACAGUGAUAUGGAGCAAAUCUUGAAAAUACUUCCCAGUUCGGAUAGUAGUCUGCAACUCGACUACUUGAAGUUGGAAUCGCUAGUAAUCGUAGAUCAGCAAUGCUACGGUGAAUACGUUCCCGGGUCUUGUACUCACCGCCCGUCACACCAUGGGAGUUGAUUUCAUUUUAAGCGGGGAUGUUAAGAUAACUACCUUCCACAGUGGAAUUAGCGACUGGGGUGAAGUCGUAACAAGGUAACCGUA